GGCGUUUCAAGAGCAAGAGUUAGCGCCGAGCCGUUUCGUUAACGACGAGGCGUUUCAAGAGCAAGAGUUAGCGCCGAGCCGUUUCGUUAACGACGAGGCGUUUCAAGAGCAAGAGUUAGCGCCGAGCCGUUUCGUUAACGACGAGGCGUUUUCUUUGGUCAGACACCGGAUGAAAACUUGGAUAUCCCAACUGUUGGUCUUCCGAGAGAAGAUUCCUGAUUUAUUGGCGCGUGCGACCGACGCAAUUCGAUCUAGCCAUUUCACUGCGGAUUCCACGCGCUGUUUGGAAGGUUUCCCGAGGUUUACGCGGAAUUCACGCGCUUCGGUUUUCCUAUAAAUGGGUGAGCUCCUUCAUUCUUCCUCAUUAUCAUCAGACUCACUCGUUUUUACUAAAGGUAGCUCUCCCUUCUCUCUUCUUUCUCUCUCUAGUUUAUUUAUUUUCCGGCUAGGGUUUCCGAGCUGCUUCGACGAUUCGUUGGAUUCACUUUUUCAUUACGAGCUGAGCCGCGUAGAUGCUGAGGCGAGAGGUACGGCGGAAUCCUCCGAGGCGUCUGUUUCGCCGAGCCCCUCCAAUCGCUCAUCUGACGAAGCGUCAAACCAUGCAAGCCCAUCAAAUGUCUGCUCUCUGGAUGGCGAGCCGUCGGUUUCGACGAGCCGUCCCCAAGAUCUUGUUCCUGAUGAGGACAUUAACCGCGCCGCACUCAAGGCCGAGGAGGAGGCAUUUCCCUUUGACCUUUUCGAGGCGAAGCUUGAAUUGGAACGUCUCAUGGCGUCCCGAGGCGCUUCCACAUCUGGGCGAGGGCAGAGAGUUAAGAGACAAAAACCUGACCCGCCUGGAUCUACACUCUGCUCCCUUGAGUCGCUUGAGGCGUUGAGGCAUCGCUUCGGGAUAUCCGAGGCGGUGGAGUUCGUCGUUCCAGAGAAGAGCGACCGAGCCGACAACCCUCCAGAGAAUCAUUUCACUCUGUACAAGGCAUUCUUCGAGCUUUGCUUCCUCUGGUUCCCGAUCCCCGGAGUGAUCCUCAAAUAUCUCUGGAAGCACGGGAUCUCGAUUGGGCAAAUCAUGCCGAGGGGAUUACGGCAUAUGAUCGGCAUCUUAGUUCAAAUCUUUGAAUGCGGAAUUGAUAUCGAGCUGAAUCACCUGCUGAACUUGCUGGAAGUCAGGAAAGCUCCGAAGGGAAAUAGAUUCUAUAUUUCCAACAAGGCGAAGCGACGGAUCAUCGGCGGUUUUCCCAGCAAGGAUCAGUUUUGGACCGAACGCUUCUUUUACGUCUUGGUGAACGAGGCGUCGGUCGGCAAGAAUUACGUUUAAAGAACCAAGACCGCUUGGGGACCACUUGGUAGCCGACCCGAAGCUUUGCCUCGGCUCGGAACUAUUUUUGGCAUCUUCUUCCUUUUCUGCAAAUUUUUCCUUUUUGCUUUGUUUUGCAGUUCGGUGCUUUCUUCCCCCGAUUCCCGACGGCCUCUUUACCGUUCGAGACUCUCUUUUGGCGCUAAGGUUAAUUGGAGAAAGAACUUCACCCUCGAAAGAGUAGAAAAAGCGCGAACCAUCCUUGCCGGAGUCCCCGUCAGCUCUUCGUCCUCAAGUUCUUCAAGAGAUACCCGGGAGAAAAUGGUGAUAAUCGCUCUCAGAGAAAGAAAGAGGCGCGAGGAAGAGGAAGCCGCUAGACGAGCUGCCGAGGCGGCUCACGUGCAAACCGAGGCAGUUCCAGCGCAAGCCGAGGCGGUUUCAGAGCAAGCCGAGGCCGUCCUUCAACCCGACCCGCCGAGCCGGGAAGGAGAUAUAAUGGUCCGAGCUGCAGAAGGCGACACUGCCGAGGCGGCUGAGAAAGAUGCAGCGACCGAGGUGGAACCGGGCCCUCCCAAAGUCGACGAGGCCACCGACUUCGGUUGUUCAGAAGCAUGACUCUAGCCGAAAACGUUCGGCUACCGACAAGGGGAAGGGCGUCGCCAUUCAGAAGGACGAGCGUAAGUUGGUUGUUGACGACCCCGACGCUUCUGCCGUCAUGUUCUCGCGUGUAAAUAUCGCGAACACGCGUCUUCCUCCUCCGGAGAAGCUGAGGAGGCUGAGGUCAUACGGCGCGAUGGCGCAGCGCGGUACCAAGUUUGUCGCGGCCAUUAACGACCUGAUGGCCGAGUAUGAGGCGGACCUGUCGAAGGUCGAGCGUCGUUUGGACGAGGCCUGAAAUGAGACCGCGGCGUCAAAGGUGAAACUGGAAGGGGCGCAAAACGAAGCCGCGGCGGCGAAGGGGAAACUCAUCGAGGCGAUGACCCAAGUGUCCAAGCUGGAAGAGGAGAAGAUCGUUCUGCGCGCCAACGUUGACAAGGUCUCUGCCUCGGUCAUUCGCCUCGAGGAGGCGAGGAGAGCUAAAAGCGCCGAGGUGGCGAUGCUGAAGAGGCGUAUCGAGGCCAAGGACGCCUUGUUCGAUGCCAAGGUUAAGAGGGCAAAAAAGGAGGCGAGGCGAGAGCUUACGGCGAAGUUUCAGGAACGCCUCGCCAAGGUGGAGGAGGGUUUGGUCAGGCUUGAGAAGGCCAAAAAUGAUGAGAACGAUCUGGGGCAGAUCAAGGGCAAUCUUGCGAUGAUUGCCGACCUGAAGAAGCCGGACGCCCCGACGCUUGACGAUGAGGAGGCGAAGCUGAAAAGCUGGGAGAGUGAGUAUGCCGACGACGAGGCGUACGAGCGUAUUGCUUCCGAGAUUCGAGGCGAGUUGUAUUACUCUCCCGUAUCGCCCGACUCGGUCGACACCACCCUUGGCAACGAGCCGCUCGAAGAGACAUCGGCCAACUUAGGCGUCGUAGAUCCGAACGGAUCAAACGCGGGCACGCUGGUCCUCUCAAACCUCCUCGCCGAGCGUGAAACGCAGUCUGCGGCCUGAUACUCUCUGCUUUUCCCUGUUUUGUCUUUCAUGCUCCUGUACUUAGGAUUUUUAUCUGUUUUCUGAACUCUUUUAUGUAACCAGUGCCUGGACGGCUUUAUCCACCCGACAUUUAUGGAUAUAUUCUUUUUUCCUUAGCCGUUUUAGGAUUUGAUGCACUUAUUUUUAACGAUUUGUGUAAAAUAUCUGUGAAAAACGUUGGCUUAAAGAAAAUUGUCGAGGAUGAAAACUGCUGUGUCGAGAUAAUUUUGAUUGCUUCCUUAACCAAAUUCUUCGAAAUCGGUAGAAAUACGGGCUAAGGGUUGAGUUGUUUUUAAUGAUCUCGUUUGGAUUCUCAAUCUCGAGCUGGGAGUUUAGAUGAUGCUAGAAAGUUUUUAAGUGAUAACGUCGAGGCAAACUUUUGCGGGCAAUGCCGAGCCGUAUUUAACGACGAGGCGUUUUUGCUGUGCAUGGUGCCGAGCCGUGUAAACGACGAGGCGUUUUCUUUUUGCAUGGUGCUGAGCCGUGUAAACAACGAGGCGUUUUCUUUUUGCGUGGUGCCGAGCCGUGUAAACGCCGAGGCGUUUUUCUCAUUGGGUGGUGCCGAGCCGUGUAAACGACGAGGCGUUUUGUUUUUGUUUUUGUUAACCGAGGAUGAUUUAGUAGUCUCAUUGAAUUUGACUAUGGACCGGCGUUUCCGAGAGGAUGAGUAGGCUUGUCCGGGUUUCAAGAGUUUACUUUGGUUUUAGAGAAAGCGAUGUAGUCUCGACUUAUAAUCUCGUGUGCAAUAGUAAACCAUGACGACCUGAUACGUUUUUGGUCUGAUAUUUGUAUAGCGCGCUUCAUUUUUAUCCGUAGAGGAUAUAACUUGCACCCUCGUCCUAGGAAAGGUGGUAAAAGUCCGUUUAGAGAACUUUGUAUUUGUUGCCCCAUUGUGGCCAGCAACGAGACGAGGCGUUCGGAGGCUUAGUUUGCCGAACUGAAACUGAGGACCAACGAAGGUCCGAGGUAAUCAGGUCAUGAUAUCAUGCCGAAGUGAUGAGUGAAAGAAUUUAAAAAUCUGAGCUUGUUAAAAUUAGUUGCUGAUUUAGAAGGAAUGAGAAACUAGCCGAAGCGAUAAUGAACAGACGUGAAAUAAGUAGAUGGUUCAAAACGAACUGAGAAUGUGCCGAAGUGGCGAUGUUCCUAAGUGAGCAAGCUAAAAUUGUAGAGUUAAAAGAGGUAUGUAUACGUACCCACUCUCCCCCCUUUUUAGGAGGG
Molecule: RNA transcript, 4115 nt
Organism: Eutrema salsugineum
Lineage: Eukaryota; Viridiplantae; Streptophyta; Magnoliopsida; Brassicales; Brassicaceae
Exons: 3
Source: RefSeq, a predicted model, not a curated record